GUGUCAGCAGCCGCGGUAAGACGAACCGUGCGAACGUUGUUCGGAAUCACUGGGCUUAAAGGGCGCGUAGGCGGGCCGUCAGGCCCGCGGUGAAAUCCCCCGGCUCAACCGGGGAAGUGCCGCGGGGACCGGCGGUCUGGAGUGAGAUAGGGGCGUGCGGAACUGUGGGUGGAGCGGUGAAAUGCGUUGAUAUCCACAGGAACUCCGGUGGCGAAGGCGGCACGCUGGAUCUCGACUGACGCUGAGGCGCGAAAGCCAGGGGAGCGAACGGGAUUAGAUACCCUAGUAGUCC
RNAcentral lists this ribosomal RNA (292 nucleotides) under uncultured bacterium. RNAcentral's name for it is "partial 16S ribosomal RNA". It matches the Rfam family "Bacterial small subunit ribosomal RNA", at positions 505 to 796 of the family's 1533-position model. The record is from RNAcentral.